This 650-nucleotide ribosomal RNA is filed under the name uncultured bacterium. RNAcentral describes it as "bacterial SSU rRNA". It matches the Rfam family "Bacterial small subunit ribosomal RNA", at positions 8 to 653 of the family's 1533-position model. The record is from RNAcentral.
AGAGUUUGAUCCUGGCUCAGAUUGAACGCUGGCGGCAUGCCUUACACAUGCAAGUCGAACGGCAGCACGGGAGCAAUCCUGGUGGCGAGUGGCGAACGGGUGAGUAAUAUAUCGGAACGUGCCCAGUAAUGGGGGAUAGCCCGGCGAAAGCCGGAUUAAUACCGCAUACGACCUAUGGGUGAAAGCGGGGGAUCGCAAGACCUCGCGUUAUUGGAGCGGCCGAUAUCAGAUUAGCUUGUUGGUGGGGUAAAAGCCCACCAAGGCGACGAUCUGUAGCUGGUCUGAGAGGACGACCAGCCACACUGGGACUGAGACACGGCCCAGACUCCUACGGGAGGCAGCAGUGGGGAAUUUUGGACAAUGGGCGCAAGCCUGAUCCAGCCAUGCCGCGUGUGGGAAGAAGGCCUUCGGGUUGUAAACCACUUUUGUCAGGGAAGAAACGGUUCCUACUAAUAUUGGGAGCUAAUGACGGUACCUGAAGAAUGAGCACCGGCUAACUACGUGCCAGCAGCCGCGGUAAUACGUAGGGUGCAAGCGUUAAUCGGAAUUACUGGGCGUAAAGCGUGCGCAGGCGGCUUUGCAAGACAGAUGUGAAAUCCCCGGGCUCAACCUGGGAACUGCAUUUGUGACUGCAUGGCUAGAGUACGGUA